AUACUUACCUGGCAGAGGAAAUAGCAUGAUCCCAAAGGUGGUUUUCCCAGGGUGAGCACCAUCCAUUAAACUCCGGAUAGGCUGACCCCUGUGAUUUCUCCAAAUGAAAGAAACUCAAAUGCAUUGAUUCUUGGUAGUGGGGGAUUGAAUCCAUGCUCUCCCCUG
Molecule: small nuclear RNA, 165 nt
Organism: Arvicola amphibius (Eurasian water vole)
Lineage: Eukaryota; Metazoa; Chordata; Mammalia; Rodentia; Cricetidae
Product: U1 spliceosomal RNA
Exons: 1
Source: RefSeq, a predicted model, not a curated record